AUGGCGAACUGCUUCCGGAGGCCGUCGACGACGGUGCCUGCGGCUCCUAGGAGCGACGACGAGAUCCUCCAUCCAGCCAACCUCAGGAGUUUCACCUUUAAGGACCUCAAGAAGGCCACAAGGAACUUCCGGCCGGAUAGCAUGCUCGGUGAGGGCGGCUUCGGAUCAGUGUUCAAAGGGUGGGUUGACGAGGCCUCCUUCGCCCCGGCAAGCCCUGGCACUGGCAUGCCCAUCGCCAUCAAGAAGCUCAACCAGGAAAGCUUCCAGAUCCACAAGGAAUGGCUGGAUGAAGCGAGUCACCUAGGCCGAUUGUCGCACCCCAAUCUGGUAAAGCAGCUAGGGUACUGCCUCGAAGACGAGCAGCACCUGCUCGUCUAUGAGUUCAUGCCACAAGGAAGCUUGGAGAGCCAUCUUUACAGGAGGGCCUCGCAUCUCCAGCCACUGUCAUGGGAUUUGAGGAUGAAGGUUGCUCUUGGGGCAGCCAAAGGGCUGGCAUUCCUCCACAGCGACAAGGCCAAUGUCAUCUACGGUGAUUUCAAGACGUCAGACAUUCUUCUUGAUUCGAGCUACAAUGCAAAGCUGUCUGAUUUUGGGAAGCGAAAGGAAGAACCAACCGUUGAUCCGGGCUUUUAUAUUGAUGAAUUGCCAAGCUACUAUGCAAAAAGGCUGUCUGAUCUUGGGUUGUCGACCGAGGACCCGACGGCAGAGAGCAACGUGUACAGUUUCGGGGUGGUGCUCUUGGAGAUACUGGCAGGCAGGCGCCGACUGGACAGGAACCGGCCAUCCGGUGAGCAAGACCUGGUGGAGUGGGCGCGACCGCACCUGAGGAGCAAGCGCCAGAUCUCCCAAAUCCUGGACGCGCGGCUGGGCGGUCAGUACUCCCUCUCCGGCGCACAGAAGGCCGCCGCGCUGGCGCUCAAGUGCCUCUCUUGUAACAUGAGUGUCCGGCCGAGCAUGGAGCAGGUGGUUGCGGCACUGGAGCAGCUCCAGGACACCAAGGAGGCCGCAGUGAGUGAUCAGGGGAAGGCGAAUGGCGGUGGCGCCUGCGGCUUUCUCAGGAAGUUUGGUGGUAGCCGGCAGCUGCAACCGUAG
Molecule: ribosomal RNA, 1092 nt
Filed under: Triticum aestivum (bread wheat)
Lineage: Eukaryota; Viridiplantae; Streptophyta; Magnoliopsida; Poales; Poaceae
Description: partial small subunit ribosomal RNA
Source: RNAcentral